GAUGAACGCUGGCGGCGUGCUUAACACAUGCAAGUCGAACGGAAAGGCCCAAGCUUGCUUGGGUACUCGAGUGGCGAACGGGUGAGUAACACGUGGGUGAUCUGCCCUGCACUUCGGGAUAAGCCUGGGAAACUGGGUCUAAUACCGGAUAGGACGAUGGUUUGGAUGCCAUUGUGGAAAGUUUUUUCGGUGUGGGAUGAGCUCGCGGCCUAUCAGCUUGUUGGUGGGGUAAUGGCCUACCAAGGCGUCGACGGGUAGCCGGCCUGAGAGGGUGUACGGCCACAGUGGGACGGAGAUACGGCCCAGACUCCUACGGGAGGCAGCAGUGGGGAAUAUUGCACAAUGGGCGCAAGCCUGAUGCAGCGACGCCGCGUGGGGGAUGACGGCCUUCGGGUUGUAAACUCCUUUCGCUAGGGACGAAGCGUUUUUGUGACGGUACCUGGAGAAGAAGCACCGGCUAACUACGUG
RNAcentral lists this ribosomal RNA (468 nucleotides) under uncultured bacterium. Its description in RNAcentral is "partial 16S ribosomal RNA". It matches the Rfam family "Bacterial small subunit ribosomal RNA", at positions 28 to 507 of the family's 1533-position model. The record is from RNAcentral.